Molecule: ribosomal RNA, 253 nt
Filed under: uncultured bacterium
Lineage: Bacteria
Description: partial 16S ribosomal RNA
Rfam family: Bacterial small subunit ribosomal RNA
Source: RNAcentral
UACGUAGGGGGCAAGCGUUGUCCGGAAUUAUUGGGCGUAAAGAGCGCGUAGGCGGUCCGAUAAGUCGGCUGUGAAAGUCAGGGGCUCAACCCUUGGAAGCCGGCCGAUACUGUCGGACUAGAGUCCGGAAGAGGCGAGUGGAAUUCCCGGUGUAGCGGUGAAAUGCGCAGAUAUCUGGAGGAACCCCGGUGGCGAAAGCGGCUCACUGGACCGUCUCUGACGCUGAGGUGCGAAAGCUAGGGUAGCAAACGGG